AUCCAACUGAUGAGUCCCGAAUAGGACGAAACACGCGUCCUGGAU
Molecule: non-coding RNA, 45 nt
Organism: Schistosoma mansoni
Lineage: Eukaryota; Metazoa; Platyhelminthes; Trematoda; Strigeidida; Schistosomatidae
Source: Rfam